UGGUUAAACCUGGGGGAGAGACAUUACUGAGUGAGGGCCCUCUGGGUCCAACCUCCCACCCGUGUUUAUUGUACCUUGUUGCUUCGGUGCGCCCGCCUCACGGCCGCCGGGGGGCUUCUGCCCCCGGGUCCGCGCGCACCGGAGACACCAUUGAACUCUGUCUGAAGAUUGCAGUCUGAGCAUAAACUAAAUAAGUUAAAACUUUCAACAACGGAUCUCUUGGUUCCGGCAUCGAUGAAGAACGCAGCGAAAUGCGAUAACUAAUGUGAAUUGCAGAAUUCAGUGAAUCAUCGAGUCUUUGAACGCACAUUGCGCCCCCUGGUAUUCCGGGGGGCAUGCCUGUCCGAGCGUCAUUGCUGCCCUCAAGCACGGCUUGUGUGUUGGGCUCCGUCCCCCCGGGGACGGGUCCGAAAGGCAGCGGCGGCACCGAGUCCGGUCCUCGAGCGUAUGGGGCUUUGUCACCCGCUCUGUAGGCCCGGCCGGCGCCAGCCGACAACCAAUCAUCCUUUUUUCAGGUUGACCUCGGAUCAGGUAGGGAUACCCGCUGAACUUAAGCAUAUCAAUAAGCGGAGGA
This 574-nucleotide ribosomal RNA is filed under the name Penicillium sp. CF8. Its description in RNAcentral is "eukaryotic LSU rRNA". The stretch from base 200 to 353 matches the Rfam family "5.8S ribosomal RNA". The record is from RNAcentral. Lineage: Eukaryota; Fungi; Ascomycota; Eurotiomycetes; Eurotiales; Aspergillaceae.